RNAcentral lists this ribosomal RNA (676 nucleotides) under uncultured bacterium. RNAcentral's name for it is "bacterial SSU rRNA". It matches the Rfam family "Bacterial small subunit ribosomal RNA", at positions 153 to 845 of the family's 1533-position model. The record is from RNAcentral.
GAAAAGAAUGCUAAUACCGCAUGACAUAUCGGAACCACAUGGUUCUGAUAUCAAAGAUUUUAUCGCUUGAAGAUGGACUCGCGUCCGAUUAGUUAGUUGGUGAGGUAACGGCUCACCAAGACCGCGAUCGGUAGCCGGACUGAGAGGUUGAACGGCCACAUUGGGACUGAGACACGGCCCAGACUCCUACGGGAGGCAGCAGUGGGGGAUAUUGCGCAAUGGGGGCAACCCUGACGCAGCAACGCCGCGUGAAGGAUGAAGGUUUUCGGAUUGUAAACUUCUUUUAUUAAGGACGAAAAAUGACGGUACUUAAUGAAUAAGCUCCGGCUAACUACGUGCCAGCAGCCGCGGUAAUACGUAGGGAGCAAGCGUUGUCCGGAUUUACUGGGUGUAAAGGGUGCGUAGGCGGCUUUGCAAGUCAGAUGUGAAAUCUAUGGGCUCAACCCAUAAACUGCAUUUGAAACUGUAGAGCUUGAGUGAAGUAGAGGCAGGCGGAAUUCCCCGUGUAGCGGUGAAAUGCGUAGAGAUGGGGAGGAACACCAGUGGCGAAGGCGGCCUGCUGGGCUUUAACUGACGCUGAGGCACGAAAGCGUGGGUAGCAAACAGGAUUAGAUACCCUGGUAGUCCACGCUGUAAACGAUGAAUACGAGGUGUGGGGGGUCUGACCCCUUCCGUG